This 433-nucleotide ribosomal RNA is filed under the name uncultured bacterium. RNAcentral describes it as "partial 16S ribosomal RNA". It matches the Rfam family "Bacterial small subunit ribosomal RNA", at positions 29 to 507 of the family's 1533-position model. The record is from RNAcentral.
AACGAACGCUGGCGGCAUGCCUAACACAUGCAAGUCGAACGAGACCUUCGGGUCUGGUGGCGCACGGGUGCGUAACGCGUGGGAAUCUGCCCUUGGGUUCGGAAUAACAGUGAGAAAUUACUGCUAAUACCGGAUGAUGUCUUCGGACCAAAGAUUUAUCGCCCAGGGAUGAGCCCGCGUAGGAUUAGCUAGUUGGUGGGGUAAUGGCCUACCAAGGCGACGAUCCUUAGCUGGUCUGAGAGGAUGAUCAGCCACACUGGGACUGAGACACGGCCCAGACUCCUACGGGAGGCAGCAGUGGGGAAUAUUGGACAAUGGGCGCAAGCCUGAUCCAGCAAUGCCGCGUGAGUGAUGAAGGCCUUAGGGUUGUAAAGCUCUUUUACCCGGGAUGAUAAUGACAGUACCGGGAGAAUAAGCUCCGGCUAACUCCGUG